This 879-nucleotide long non-coding RNA is filed under the name Bos indicus x Bos taurus (hybrid cattle). RNAcentral describes it as "lncRNA (ENSBIXG00005031622.1)". The record is from RNAcentral. Lineage: Eukaryota; Metazoa; Chordata; Mammalia; Artiodactyla; Bovidae.
CUGAUUUCAGACCGUGCUGUGGGUCAGCUGGGAUUAAAUCUUCCACCACAGGGCAUUUGCUGAGCCAUAAGCAGAUCAAUCCUUUCUCCCUUCAUUAGUCUGAAACCAGAGCUUUUUCAGUUUUAUUCAUGCAGACUUUUCAACCAAGGUCUUUGCGCUAUUGUUUACAUAUGUAUCUCACACACACACACACACACACACACACAGAUUUUUAUGCUGUUAAGAGGGGAGAGAUAGGAUAAAUAUUUUUUUCUCUUGUUUCUUGACAAAUUAGUAUGAGGAAAAUGAUGUGGCACUAAAGAAGAACAGAAAAAAGUGAAGAGACAGGACCAGGAGUGGAGGAGGGGAGAAAGUACUGGGAAGAGAGCUGCAGAAAGAAGACUUGAUGGGGCACAGAGUUCCUGAUAAAAGCGGACUGCAAUCAUGGUUUCUUCAGAUGCACACUUAAGGAAAACUUCUCAACUCUUCUCCAAGAAUCCCCUGCCUCCAUCCCUAGAGAAUCAUGGCUUCAAAAUGAAACAUAAAACAAAGUUUUGAGCUGACUUUGGUCGAAAUCUCAAAUACUAUAAACUGUACAGUACUGUCUGCAGGUGGACCACAUUGUAGGGGAAAUAACGUGAUUCAAGCCAGCCACCUGCCCCUGCUUUCCAGGAUUCUACCACUCAGCUCUGAUCAAGCUAGCAUCCCUCCUCCUGUCACCAGCAAAGCCCAUGAAACAUUUCCAAGAAUUAAAAAUAGAAUCUGGGUAAUAAAAUAAAAGUCUAACCUUUUUUUCCUUUGUGCUUGGACAAAGGAAAUAGUUUCAUUUGCUCAUAGUGGGGCAUGUGCAGAGGCCUCACACUGGCCAUUCAGACCAGUUCCUAGAGCAAAAUGGCCAUG